AAGAUGUAUGCUCAUGCUCGCUGUCGUCGCAGGGGAAUCCGGUGUGAAUCCGGAACUGUCCCGCAACGGUGUACUUAUGCGUGUUCCGGCAUGUAUGAGCGUCAGUCCGAGGACCUGCCGACAGUGUGCCCGGCCG
Molecule: non-coding RNA, 136 nt
Filed under: Streptomyces davaonensis
Lineage: Bacteria; Bacillati; Actinomycetota; Actinomycetes; Kitasatosporales; Streptomycetaceae
Source: RNAcentral